Microcebus murinus (gray mouse lemur) is the source of this 6805-nucleotide non-coding RNA. NCBI's taxonomy places the organism in Eukaryota, Metazoa, Chordata, Mammalia, Primates, Cheirogaleidae. The record is from RefSeq and is a predicted model, not a curated record.
AGUUUCUAUUCAUGUGUUGAUGGAACAAAUCCUGGAUACUUCUAAAUGUCAGGCAGUGUUUUAGGCCAGGAGGCAGCAAUGACCCAAGCUGUCAAGCCCUCCUGGAGCUCACAUUAAAGAGGAAUACAAUCCUGUCAAGUGGUGAGAAAUCCUGUGAAGAAAUACGAAGUGGGUCACGUGAUAGGGUGGUGAGAGAAGAGAAGGAGGACAGAGAAGACCUUUCUGAUGAGGUGACAUGAGCAAAGACUGAUGCAGUGCGGGAUGAGCAAACUCCAUGUUGGAAGAGUCCAAGGAGGGCAGUGUGGUCCAGUGAGGGGUUACAAUCUCCCCUCAUUCUCUGGUUUUCCAGCUUCUUGGCUUUUGUCUUCAUUCCUGUGACCAUCAGAACUGUGAGAAGUUGGCCUUAAAGGAACCACUGACAUUUGGGGAUGUGGCUGUGGCCUUGACCCAGCUUGAGUGGAGGCACCUGGAUGCUGCUCAGCGGGCCCUGCACAGGGAUGUGAGGCUGGAAAACUAGGAAUCUGGUGUCUGUGGGGCUUCUGUGUUCCAAAACUAAUUGCUCAGUUGGAACAAGAGGCAGAGCCCUGGAUGGAGGCCUGAGAGGUCCCAGUGGGGCCUUGUGCAGCUGUUUAGUUCCUGCUGGCGAUGUCCUGGAUUCCACUGGUGUCAGACCCUGUGGACCACUCCUGAUCAGCUAUCACUCUCUGUUUCCUUCAUUCCAAACCUCAACUCCUCUAAUGGGGUGGUCCAGCAAGCCUUGACUGUAGUCGUCCAUCUUGUCCUGGAUCUGUCUUUUGAAUCUUUAAUUCCUUUUCCCUUUUGCUUUCCUUAGGUUUAUUUACUUUUUCUUAACAUUUUUAGUUAUUUACUUAAUUCAUUGAAUUUUCUUCUUUGUUAUUUAUGUAAUACAAAUAUUUAAAGUCUUGAAGUUUUGUCUGUACAAUGUUUUUAUUGUAUUUAAUAAGUUAUAACAUAUAGUGAUUUCGUUAUCAUUUUUUAGAUAUUUUGCAAUUUGUGUUUUGAUUUCAGUGAUUGAAAUGUUAAGAGACUUAUAAGCUAGCCUUUUCUUUGUUAAAGCCUACAAAAGUUGGUAACCAACACUAGGUCAAAAAAUAGAACAUUGGCAAUACCCCGGUAAAUCGCAUGUUGAUUCCUCCAAUCAUUAUCCAUUCCCCUUCCCCUGAACUGACACUAGUUUAUUUUUACCUGUUUUCAAACUUUAUAUGAAGUUAAAUGGAAUCAUAGAGUGUAUAUAUUAUUUUGUCUGGCUUAUACAUAACAUUUUGUGGAAUUAAUCCAUUUCUGUUCAUUUUUUUGCUGUGGUUCAGUGGUUUUUAAAACUCUGGUCUGCGUCAGAUGCAUGUUGAAGUGCAGUCACUGGGUCCUACCCUCCGAGAUCAUUAUUCAUCACGUCAGUAAGAGAACUCCGGCCAAUGAUUAAUCCCACUGUGGCUGGAGGAAUUGGACCGAAUACACCUGUAUGUACUUUACAUAUGCCAGCAGAUGGCAUUAGAAGACCAUUAUCAUGGAUGGAAGAUCUAAGGCUGCACUCCUGCUCCUGGCAGGUAAGUCAGCAACCUUUCAUUUUGGGGAAUCUAGCUUUAAAAUUGUCGUGGGGCUGCUGGCCGGGGCUGUCUAUUGCCACAUUGUUUUCUGAGUCUGCAGCUGCCAGGUUGGGAAUCGUUGGGCAAGAUUGUCUCCUGUAUUGUUUUUCUUGGGGCCCUGGGCAGGGCCCCAUCCCCCGUUUCCCUGGUCCAUAAAGGAGUGGCCGUCAGCAUGAAAUUUAGAAUGGCAUCCAUCAGUCCAGUGAUACCCUUUACCAAAGCGAAGGCAAAGUCCAGGAGCAGGACCAGUCAGGUGACAAUUAUUAGUUGUUCUCGGUGGUUGUUUACAAUCUGUUUUAAAAUAACCUUUUUGGUCACAAUUACAACAUUUAGAGGCUGUUUUUUGUCCUCCAGGGCAUUGUUCCUGGAUAACCUCAGCCAAUAGUUGCAUUUUUGUGUCUGAUCCAACAGGCUUUCAUAUAUUCCUCUAAAGGAGUGCCGCUGGAUUUGAAAGGGUGCAGAAGCCACCGAGGCUCAGAGUCGGCGUCAUCAAAAGCCAGCAUACACAACAACAUAUUUCCUAACUCAGGAGGCCUAACCAUUUUUUGCAUAACAUCCUGCAAUCUAGUAAUGAAAUCCAGAUAACGUUCACUAGCAGUUUGUUUAACAUUUACACAAGAAGGCACAGUUUGUCCAAGUGGGGUUAUCUUCUCCCAUGCUCUAAGACAGCACUGCCAGACUUGAGCAAUAGCCUGAUCAUCAUAUUUCAAUUGAGCAUCUAUGCCAAAUCAUUUUCCUUGUCCUGUAAUUUGUGCUGCUGAAAUACCUGUUAGAGGAUCUUAGGACUGAUUAUGCUAUGCUUGCUGACGAGCUUAGUCACCCCACCAGAUAGUGAACUGAAGAAAUUCAGAUGGAGAUACGACUAUCUGAGCAAACAUUUCCCAGUCCCAAGGAAUUAAUCAUUCCACUUGAGCCAAUCUCUCAAGCAAGCCUUUCGUAUAAGGAGAGUUAGUUCCAUAAGAAACACAGGCUUGUUUUAAUUCUUUCAAAGUUUUAAGUGAUGGCUCAUGAAUAUAGCAUGGGGUCCAAGUUGCUCGCGCCACCUGGCCUUGAUCAUCAGAAUCUGAAUCUGGCUGUACUAUAGCAACCGGGACAAGACAAGCUUCCAGGUCUCCCCUCAGCUGUGCCUCUCUUAUGGCUUCCUGAAUGCCUCCUUGAGUUCUUGUUUGUUUUUUAGGAGCCUUCUUUAAAGCCUUUUUAAGGGGAGGAUCAUGUUUCAGGGAAAAGUCAGCAUAAGAAAGCAGCUGUGCAAAGGGUGAGAACUUGGCGCAGGGAAGUCUCUAUCUGAGGUCUUGCCUUUACUUUCAGUUUCACAAGGAGCCAAGGGAAGGGGAAGCAGAAAUUCAUCUUCAGAAUUUUUCCACUCCUUCAUUCUCUCUAUUGAUCCAUACUGAGGACCAGCAGCCAAAUUUAGCAGCUUUUCUUCAUCCUUGCCUGAUGCAUGUGGAAGAUCUUAUAUAACCUCCUCUUCCGUAUGAAAGCCGGGCUCUGGAUCAGACACUGUCUUUAUUUUAGGAUAGGAGUGAGCCAUCUCAUUAUCAGUCUAAGUCUGAUUGAAAUGGUUUCAGAGCCUGAGUAAUUAAGGAGCAAAGUUGUCACACAGAAAAAGGGACCUUCUCUCCUCUCUGGUGCGUGUGCCACAGUGCUCUGAUGGCCGGCCGCCACUGUCUGAGUGCACCUGGAGAGGGAAACCAAUAGCAGGGUUUGGAAACUAAAUGAAAGAGGUCCUCAAAAGUUUUAUGCUUGGCAACCACCCCAGAACUCUGUAACAGAGUCUGCAACAAUUCAGUGUACUCAGUAAUUUAGACUGAUUCUGCCACAUUGUUACCCUGACUGAACAAUCCCCAGAGCUGAGCUCACCCCUCCUGGGCACCAUGGCUCAGAUCCUUCUCCAGGUCUCUGUGACACUGUAUGGGAAUCUCCUUCACUCCGGUGAAGCCUUCUGCUUUUAGGACUCUGCUCACUGCACCAGUUGCCGGGAGUUAGUUACUCUCCCAGCAAAACAGGUCCCAGGCAGGAUCAUCACAAGAGAUUUGGAAAUAAUAGAGAUGGAGACAAAGUGUAGUUUAAAGUGGUGGGGAAAUCAGAGGUCCCUCAGCAUUCCUGUGAGCCAGGAGGCACUGAGUGAAGUCUCACAUCCAUAUUGGUACAGAAAUUAGUUGUUAGUGAUUGUAGAUUUAUAUGUACAAAUUAUUUGUUUAGGUUUCAUGGCUCCCCAAAGGUUUCAAGGGAUCCCUUAAUUAAUUCUAUCUACAUGAGCAUAUGGUUACAAAAUUUUUCAAAGAUAAGCUUCUUAAGCACUAAGAACAGACCUAGCUGAGCAUACAAGUUAAAGAUAAAAUUGCCAAUUAGCAGUAAAGCUAAAACAGAAACAUAAAGACAAUAUAUUUUUUUUAUUUAGCUCCUCAUUAACUGAGACAUGUGGUCAGGACUGAAACAGUAACUGUCCUUCAGGCUAAUUGGUUUCAGCUGCAGGUGUCUGCUGGGCUGACAUUCUUUGAUUAGUCCUUAACCUGCGGCCCAUGCCGAGCUCUGCCAUGCACAAGCUCCAGGCGCUGGCCUGCAGGCCUUGGGACAGGUGCUGCCUUGCUGCAUUCCACCUGCAUUCCACCUGAUCGGUGGAAUGCCCCCCUUGUUUCUAAGCAGCUUCUGGUCUGUGAACUAACACGCCCACAGAUUCCUUCAAGGAGAAGCCCUGCAAAACUCCUGCAACUUUCAACGUCUUUAGCUCUAUUUCCAAACAUGCCUCCACUUCCCUUUCUCCUGUACAGCACCGCCCCCCCCAUACUUUCAUUUCUUCUCCAGCCCAGCUAGCCUAACACGCACAGCACUGGUGUGAGCAUAUGUGCAGGUGUCGAUGACUGAGUGUGCCCAGGCUGGUCUGUUCUCAUUGCUAUCACACAGGGAGGUGCACCAGAAGCCCCUGACAGCUUCAUUUAAAACACACUUGGCUGCCUUUCUUCUCCUAAUCCUUGCUGAACAACAGUCUCCAGGGCUGGGCUGGGGCAAGUGCAAUUUGAAAACAUGUCUCUUGGAAAUUGAGACACAUGUUACCUCAGCCAUCUGCAGGAAGGCAGUGGAGAGGACAGGCUGGGAGCACUGACUGCCGGAAUCACACUGGGCCUGACUCUGGACAAGCAGCCUCACAUUGCUUGGAAUAUGGACUGGGCCAUGCUCAGGAAGCUGUUACUAGGACACAUUGAGAGAAAGUUUGUCAAGUAUUUAACACAGUGCCUAGCUCAUAGUAAGUACAUGGUCAAUAUUAGUUUUCAUUAAAUUAUUGCUUUCCUCUAGGACUGACAUAGCCUUUCUCAAUUUCCCUACAGUGCUUAGGAUAGGCCUUCCCUGUGGCAGACAUCAGCCCAUGCAGUGAACCCGUAUGGCCGACACAAACAUGCCACGACUCCUCCCAACCUGCAGAGCAAUCCUCUAUAUUGGACCCACUCCCCCUCCAGCGAGCACUCCAUUUCUUUUCUUCUCUUUAUAGGAAAAUUCACCAAAUACUUUUCUAUACUCACCUUCUAUAAUUCCUCCAAUUCUGUCAUCUUUCACUAAAGAAAUUUCAAAUAUACAUUUUGCCAAUAUUCAAUUUUCCAACCUCUUAAUUUUUUUGCUUAUUUUAAAGCAAACCCCAGAAAUCAUGUCAUUUCACCUAGUAGACUAUAUCUCUAACAAAUGAGAACUCUUAAAAGACAAUCCUUACCACAUCUAACAAAAUAACAAUAUUUCUCUAACAUCAGUUAAUACCUUACCUGUGUUCAAAUUUCUCCGAUUGCUGUAAAGUUGCUUCAUUUGAAUCAGGACCUAAUUGAGGCCUUAUAUUUGGUUGAUUUUUCUCUUGACACUCUUCUCCCAACUCUCUGGAACCCACACUAUUUAAGGCUCUAUUGCUCUAUGAAAACUAUACUUUUCAAGGUCAACAAUAACCUGGAUGUUGCUAAAGCUGACGGAGGGUUCUCCGUCCUCACUUCCCCAACCCGUCGGCAGCAUUGGCUCUGUGGGCCAUGCCCUCAUGGGGAAGCCCUCCUUGCUGGAACACGCAGGCAGGCACAUCUCCUGGUCUUCCGCCAGCCCCCACCUGGCUGCUGCUCCCCAGCUGCCAUCCCUACCUCUGAGCACUAGUGUGCACCAGGGCGCCACUCCUGUCUUCUUUAGUUUUCUUUUCUCACCCUUGGUGGAGUUGUCCAGGAUCAAGUAUUUAAAAGCAUCGAGAGUUUAUAUCUCUAGCCCAUUCCAAGCGCCCACUGAACAUCUCCAAACGAAUGUCUAAUAGUUGUCUCAAACUUAAUCUGCCAAAAGCUCCAUCCCCAUCCCUCCUGCCCUCAGACUUCUGCAUCUCAUGCUCCUGAUAACUUUGGCCCCAACCUUGGACUCCACUCCUCUUUCACACCCCACACUGACCCCUCAGGAGGCACUGACAGGCAGGCCCUGUCACCUGAAGACUCUAAGCAUGGCUGGGUGGGUGGGCAGAUGUGUUCAAACAGAGACACUGUGGUCACAUGGAGCCAGAACCUUUAGACAAGGUAAUAUAUUUCCAUGGCAAGGGGACUUUGCCAGGUCAGGUUGAGGUCCUGGCUCCAGGCAGGAAAGGGAUAAUAAUUCUGUAGAUGCCAUGAGCCUUGAUUGAGCAAAUAAAGAAGAGGAAGCUAUGUUUUCUGCUUUCAUUAAAGGGCAAAAGCAGUGGGGACAGAGCUUAGCAAGAGUCAGUAAGCAGGCAGAGGAAGAAUUUUAACUCCUUGGGUGUUUUCUUCCAUGAUACCUCUGCACUCACCCACCCCCAUAUUGUGGCUUCUUUGGCCUGCCCUCCAAGGCCACCACACCUGUGUGUCCCUCAGCUGAAGGAGGGGGAGAAACCAGGCUGCAUAUCAAUGUAAUCAGAUGGCAAUGAAAUGAUUUGUUAUUUCUCAGUAUGAGGUUCCCUGGGGCUUCUGCCCCUCUUGGAAUUGGGCAGGAAGAAGAGAUCCGGGGAUGAGACAAAGAGUGGUGAAAUGACACUUCUACCCAGUGCCUGGUCCCCGGAAACCCUCACCACCUCUAGCCCCUCGCGCAGCUGCACUCUCACUGUAGCAAGGCCACAGGAGAAAAGAGAAAUGAUUCACAGUGAAAGUAUGGUCAGGAGACCCUCUGGGCCAUCUCUUCCUCCUUCUUCAGCAGGCCCAGUAGAAAACCGAGGCGGCAGGGAGCUCCCCAGGAGAAAGAGC